CAGCCGCCGCGGGAAUACGGAGGGUGCAAGCGUUAAUCGGAAUUACUGGGCGUAAAGCGCACGCAGGCGGUCUGACAAGUCAGAUGUGAAAUCCCCGGGCUUAACCUGGGAACUGCAUUUGAAACUGUCAGGCUGGAGUCUUGUAGAGGGGGGUAGAAUUCCAGGUGUAGCGGUGAAAUGCGUAGAGAUCUGGAGGAAUACCGGUGGCGAAGGCGGCCCCCUGGACAAAGACUGACGCUCAGGUGCGAAAGCGUGGGGAGCAAACAGGAUUAGAUACCCGAGUAGUCCCUGUCUCUUAUAA
This 301-nucleotide ribosomal RNA is filed under the name uncultured bacterium. Its description in RNAcentral is "partial 16S ribosomal RNA". It matches the Rfam family "Bacterial small subunit ribosomal RNA", at positions 509 to 809 of the family's 1533-position model. The record is from RNAcentral.